GGCCAGACUCCUACGGGAGGCAGCAGUGGGGAAUAUUGCACAAUGGGGGAAACCCUGAUGCAGCGACGCCGCGUGAGUGAAGAAGUAUUUCGGUAUGUAAAGCUCUAUCAGCAGGGAAGAAGUUGACGGUACCUGAGUAAGAAGCCCCGGCUAACUACGUGCCAGCAGCCGCGGUAAUACGUAGGGGGCAAGCGUUAUCCGGAUUUACUGGGUGUAAAGGGAGCGUAGACGGCAGUGCAAGUCUGAAGUGAAAGCCCCGGGCUUAACCCGGGAACUGCUUUGGAAACUGUACGGCUGGAGUGCUGGAGAGGUAAGCGGAAUUCCUAGUGUAGCGGUGAAAUGCGUAGAUAUUAGGAGGAACACCAGUGGCGAAGGCGGCUUACUGGACAGUAACUGACGUUGAGGCUCGAAAGCGUGGGGAGCAAACAGGAUUAGAUACCCUUGUA
This 446-nucleotide ribosomal RNA is filed under the name uncultured bacterium. RNAcentral's name for it is "bacterial SSU rRNA". It matches the Rfam family "Bacterial small subunit ribosomal RNA", at positions 329 to 792 of the family's 1533-position model. The record is from RNAcentral.